GGAGGGAAGGAGAAGACUAGGCGAUAGAGGAGUCACUGGGGUCUCCUGGGAAUGGUUAAUAUUUGAAGCAUAUAAGGUUUAUUUUUGAGGCCUCUGUGUUUGUUCAGUGGCUAAUGAGUAGUACUGGCAGCAGGCAGGCAGCUAUCUUAGCGGUCGUAGUAAACGGGAGCUAUGUUACCUUCACUGCAUUUAGGAGCGCCCGGUGAGGAGAGCUGGUGUUCGUAGUGGUGGACUAUUUUUGUCGGCUGUAUCGACUCAACCAAUCAGAGCCUGGCACUCAUGUACAUGACCCUGGGCCAAGAACACGUAUGUAAUGCGCUGCACGGCCACCUCUCUCUCCAUACACGUUUGACAUACUCAGACAUGACAGACUUCUUCCACAUGAGGUUUAAGAUGGAGACUCCGACAUCAUCAAAUCUGUCGUUCUGCCCCUGAACAAGGCAGUUAACCCAGUGUUCCUAGGCCGUCACUGAAAAUAAGAAUUUGUUCUUAACUGACUUGCCUAGUUAAAUAAAGGUAAAAUAAAUAAAGAAUCGGAGGACGAGAGAAAAGGAGAAGACCAAGUACCGAUGACCUGUGUUAAGAGCCGGCUUUACCAACAUCAGCAAAUCAAUAUUUUUAUACCAGAGUCGUUCUUGAAUUGCGGUGGCAUUUGGGUAUGGCAUACAACAACAACAAAAAAAAACAUUAUUUCUAGAUAUGUAUUUACCAUUAGGAUAACAUUGUGCCACCAGUAGGAGUCAUAACACCAAUGAGAAUUUUGGUUAUUGAGGAUUUUCUUAAAUGGAGGCCACAGAUGCUUAAAUCUAAGGUCAUUAACCCAUAAAAUAGUUGACUAAAGGGAUAUGAUUAAUAAUUUAGCUCAAUGUUAUUUCCCUUCAUUUUAAAUUGACACCAAGUGAUACUGGAUUUAGACACACCACAUUAUCAAUGGAAUCCUCAAAUGUAUGACAUAAUAAAAGAAAGUGUGAUUAGCUAACACUUUUCUUUAAUAAAGACCCCUGAUGUUUUCCUCCGGAGGGAAGGGUCGAGGUCCUUGUAUAUCUUUGUAAUGAGUGGUUUUCAAGGUGGUAACACCAAGGAAAUAAAACGGACGGAUAUAGUAGUAAAAAAAAAAAAGUAUUUUAAUAGCCUUUGUUUUUAUUAAUCUAUACAAUAUAUAUUAAAUACCUUUUUCAUUUACUAACAUUCAAAAUAAUAUAUAGCUCUAAAUCCCCAAAAUGUCACUACAACGUCACACAUCACUACUGGGACAAGCCAAUGUGAUUACUUACCCUAAGUACUUUAUACUGCAAAACUUUCUGUUAAUACAUUGUUAAAUGGACUUGCAUUACAGUAGCUAAGAGGUGGUGAAGUUUGUCUAUGAUAAGGCGCUGCUCUACCUUCUUAACAGCGCUGUCAACAAGGCAGGUCCUACAGGCCCUAGUUUCUACCUUCUUAACAACACUAUCAACAAGGCAGGUCCUACAGACCCUAGGUUUGUCACACCUGGACUACUGUUCAGUCGUGUGGUCAGGUGCCACAAAAAAGGACUUAAGAAAAUUGCAAUUGGUUCAGAACAGGUCAGCACGGCUGGCACUUGAAUGCACGCAGAGAGCUAAUAAAUCAAAUCAAAGUUUAUUUGUCACGUGCGCCGAAUACAACAGGUGUAGACCUUACAGUGAAAUGCUUACUUACAGGCUCUAACCAAUAGUGCAAAAAAGGUAUUA
Molecule: long non-coding RNA, 1709 nt
Organism: Salmo salar (Atlantic salmon)
Lineage: Eukaryota; Metazoa; Chordata; Actinopteri; Salmoniformes; Salmonidae
Source: RefSeq, a predicted model, not a curated record